Molecule: ribosomal RNA, 340 nt
Filed under: uncultured Pseudomonadota bacterium
Lineage: Bacteria; Pseudomonadati; Pseudomonadota
Description: bacterial SSU rRNA
Rfam family: Bacterial small subunit ribosomal RNA
Source: RNAcentral
AAUAAACGCUGGCGGCGUGCCUAACACAUGCAAGUCGAACGAGAAAGCCUGAUUUCGGUCGGGCGAGUAAAGUGGCGCACGGGUGAGUAACGCGUAGGUAACCUGCCCCUGUGUCCGGGAUAACAGUGCGAAAGCGCUGCUAAUACCGGAUACGGCCAAGAGACGGAGGUUUCUUGGUCAAAGUCGGCCUCUCGAUGAAGCCGGCGCGCGGGGAUGGGCCUGCGUCCUAUCAGCUAGUUGGUAGGGUAACGGCCUACCAAGGCUUCGACGGGUAGCUGGUCUGAGAGGAUGAUCAGCCACACUGGCACUGAAACACGGGCCAGACUCCUACGGGUGGCAG